UUAAAUUGAAGAGUUUGAUCAUGGCUCAGAUUGAACGCUGGCGGCAGGCUUAACACAUGCAAGUCGAACGGUAACAGGAAGCAGCUUGCUGUUU
Molecule: ribosomal RNA, 94 nt
Filed under: Escherichia coli
Lineage: Bacteria; Pseudomonadati; Pseudomonadota; Gammaproteobacteria; Enterobacterales; Enterobacteriaceae
Description: partial 16S ribosomal RNA
Rfam family: Bacterial small subunit ribosomal RNA
Source: RNAcentral